This 703-nucleotide long non-coding RNA is filed under the name Zonotrichia albicollis (white-throated sparrow). RNAcentral's name for it is "lncRNA (ENSZALG00000005889.1)". The record is from RNAcentral. Lineage: Eukaryota; Metazoa; Chordata; Aves; Passeriformes; Passerellidae.
UUCCCCUGGAUAACCAGGAAUAUUCUCUCCUUUUUUCCCCUGAAUAACCAGCAAUGUCCUCUCCUUUUUCCCCUGAAUAACCAGGGAUGUCCUGCCCUGCUUCUCUCCAAGCUCAGUGCUGGAGAUGGGCAGGGCAGCACAGCCAGGGGCAUUUCCUUUUUUUUUAGAGGAAAUUCCUCAGGUGAGCAGCACCUGGCAGCCCAUGAAAUAUCAUUUUAUCCCUCCCAAUGGAUAUCAUUUUAUCCCUCCCAUUGAGAUAUCAUUUUAUCCCUCCCAAUGGAUUAUCAUUUUAUCCCUCCCAGUGCAGAAGGUUUCCCAGGGCCAGGUGGGAGCUGAGCUCCAUCCCUGCCCUCCUGGCUCCUCCAAGGGAAUCCUCUCCCUGGAUGUGUUCAUCCCUCACUCUGGGGAGAUGCUCCACCUUUCCUUGAGCAUCUGCCACUCCUGCAGCUCCAGAUGGGGAAUUUUAUCAGCUCAUCAUUUCUGGAAUUACCCAAAUGAUGGAAUUACCACACACCUGCUUCUGGGCAGGGGCUGUUCCCAGCCCCUGGAGCUCCCUUGGGCCAGGGGGGAUUUCAGAUAAUCAAAGUUUAGCCUGAACAUCUGAAUUUAGCCUGGACAAACGUCCACAAAAAGCUGCCCAUCAUCCAUCUGAGUGCAGGAAAUCAACCAAAUCAAACCAAUAAAACACAAAAGUGUUUUUUCA